GACGAACGCUGGCGGCGUGCUUAACACAUGCAAGUCGAACGCUGAAGCUCAGCUUGCUGGGUGGAUGAGUGGCGAACGGGUGAGUAACACGUGAGUAACCUGCCCUCUUCUUUGGGAUAACGCCCGGAAACGGGUGCUAAUACUGGAUAUUCACUGAUUCUCGCAUGGGGGUUGGUGGAAAGGUUUUUUCUGGUGGGGGAUGGGCUCGCGGCCUAUCAGCUUGUUGGUGGGGUGAUGGCCUACCAAGGCUUUGACGGGUAGCCGGCCUGAGAGGGUGACCGGUCACCUUGGGACUGAGAUACGGCCCAGACUCCUACGGGAGGCAGCAGUGGGGAAUAUUGCACAAUGGGCGAAAGCCUGAUGCAGCGACGCCGCGUGAGGGAUGGAGGCCUUCGGGUUGUAAACCUCUUUCGCUCAUGGUCAAGCCGCAGCUUUGGGUUGUGGUGAGGGUAGUGGGUAAAGAAGCGCCGGCUAACUACGUG
This 482-nucleotide ribosomal RNA is filed under the name uncultured bacterium. RNAcentral describes it as "partial 16S ribosomal RNA". It matches the Rfam family "Bacterial small subunit ribosomal RNA", at positions 28 to 507 of the family's 1533-position model. The record is from RNAcentral.